AGGAGCCCAGUGCGGGAAAUCCGCACGCUGGGAUCUGUGCGAGGGGCGUCGGGUAACCGAUGGCUCUAUCGUGAC
RNAcentral lists this non-coding RNA (75 nucleotides) under Natranaerovirga pectinivora. The record is from RNAcentral. Lineage: Bacteria; Bacillati; Bacillota; Clostridia; Lachnospirales; Natranaerovirgaceae.